RNAcentral lists this ribosomal RNA (254 nucleotides) under uncultured bacterium. Its description in RNAcentral is "partial 16S ribosomal RNA". It matches the Rfam family "Bacterial small subunit ribosomal RNA", at positions 524 to 776 of the family's 1533-position model. The record is from RNAcentral.
UACGUAGGGUGCGAGCGUUGUCCGGAAUUAUUGGGCGUAAAGAGCUCGUAGGCGGUCUGUCGCGUCGAUCGUGAAAACUUGGGGCUUAACCCUGAGCUUGCGGUCGAUACGGGCAUGACUGGAGUUCGGCAGGGGAGACUGGAAUUCCUGGUGUAGCGGUGAAAUGCGCAGAUAUCAGGAAGAACACCGGUGGCGAAGGCGGGUCUCUGGGCCGAUACUGACGCUGAGGAGCGAAAGCGUGGGGAGCGAACAGG